GUGGAUGUAGUUCAGUUGGUUAGAGCGCUGGAUUGUGGUUCCAGAGGUCGCCGGUUCGAGCCCGGUCUUCCACCCA
RNAcentral lists this transfer RNA (76 nucleotides) under Bacteroidetes bacterium HGW-Bacteroidetes-4. RNAcentral describes it as "tRNA-His". It matches the Rfam family "tRNA". Rfam says of the family: Transfer RNA (tRNA) molecules are approximately 80 nucleotides in length. The record is from RNAcentral. Lineage: Bacteria; Pseudomonadati; Bacteroidota.